AUGGCAAAAACUGAGAAAAUUGCCUUCAUUCUUGAACAAGUUCGCCUUUGCUUAGAUCGUCAGGAUUAUGUUCGUGCUCAAAUUCUGUCGAGGAAGAUUAGUCCUAGAGUAUUUGAUGUUGACCCUUCUAAGGAGAAGAAUAAACCCAAGGAAGGUGACAAUAUUGUAGAAGAGCUC
Hibiscus syriacus is the source of this 177-nucleotide long non-coding RNA. RefSeq lists it as uncharacterized. Lineage: Eukaryota; Viridiplantae; Streptophyta; Magnoliopsida; Malvales; Malvaceae. The record is from RefSeq and is a predicted model, not a curated record. The transcript has 3 exons.